UGCAGUCGAACGAUGAAGCCCAGCUUGCUGGGUGGAUUAGUGGCGAACGGGUGAGUAACACGUGAGUAACCUGCCCUUGACUCUGGGAUAAGCCUGGGAAACUGGGUCUAAUACCGGAUAGGAACGUCCACCGCAUGGUGGGUGUUGGAAAGAUUUAUCGGUCAUGGAUGGACUCGCGGCCUAUCAGCUUGUUGGUGAGGUAAUGGCUCACCAAGGCGACGACGGGUAGCCGGCCUGAGAGGGUGACCGGCCACACUGGGACUGAGACACGGCCCAGACUCCUACGGGAGGCAGCAGUGGGGAAUAUUGCACAAUGGGCGAAAGCCUGAUGCAGCGACGCCGCGUGAGGGAUGACGGCCUUCGGGUUGUAAACCUCUUUCAGUAGGGAAGAAGCGAAAGUGACGGUACCUGCAGAAGAAGCACCGGCUACUACGUGCCAGCAGCC
Molecule: ribosomal RNA, 445 nt
Filed under: Micrococcus luteus
Lineage: Bacteria; Bacillati; Actinomycetota; Actinomycetes; Micrococcales; Micrococcaceae
Description: bacterial SSU rRNA
Rfam family: Bacterial small subunit ribosomal RNA
Source: RNAcentral